GAUGAACGCUGGCGGCGUGCCUAAUACAUGCAAGUCGAGCGAACAGACAAGGAGCUUGCUCCUUUGACGUUAGCGGCGGACGGGUGAGUAACACGUGGGUAACCUACCUAUAAGACUGGGAUAACUUCGGGAAACCGGAGCUAAUACCGGAUAAUAUUUCGAACCGCAUGGUUCGAUAGUGAAAGAUGGUUUUGCUAUCACUUAUAGAUGGACCCGCGCCGUAUUAGCUAGUUGGUAAGGUAACGGCUUACCAAGGCGACGAUACGUAGCCGACCUGAGAGGGUGAUCGGCCACACUGGAACUGAGACACGGUCCAGACUCCUACGGGAGGCAGCAGUAGGGAAUCUUCCGCAAUGGGCGAAAGCCUGACGGAGCAACGCCGCGUGAGUGAUGAAGGUCUUCGGAUCGUAAAACUCUGUUAUUAGGGAAGAACAUACGUGUAAGUAACUAUGCACGUCUUGACGGUACCUAAUCAGAAAGCCACGGCUAACUACGUGCCAGCAGCCGCGGUAAUACGUAGGUGGCAAGCGUUAUCCGGAAUUAUUGGGCGUAAAGCGCGCGUAGGCGGUUUUUUAAGUCUGAUGUGAAAGCCCACGGCUCAACCGUGGAGGGUCAUUGGAAACUGGAAAACUUGAGUGCAGAAGAGGAAAGUGGAAUUCCAUGUGUAGCGGUGAAAUGCGCAGAGAUAUGGAGGAACACCAGUGGCGAAGGCGACUUUCUGGUCUGUAACUGACGCUGAUGUGCGAAAGCGUGGGGAUCAAACAGGAUUAGAUACCCUGGUAGUCCACGCCGUAAACGAUGAGUGCUAAGUGUUAGGGGGUUUCCGCCCCUUAGUGCUGCAGCUAACGCAUUAAGCACUCCGCCUGGGGAGUACGACCGCAAGGUUGAAACUCAAAGGAAUUGACGGGGACCCGCACAAGCGGUGGAGCAUGUGGUUUAAUUCGAAGCAACGCGAAGAACCUUACCAAAUCUUGACAUCCUUUGACAACUCUAGAGAUAGAGCCUUCCCCUUCGGGGGACAAAGUGACAGGUGGUGCAUGGUUGUCGUCAGCUCGUGUCGUGAGAUGUUGGGUUAAGUCCCGCAACGAGCGCAACCCUUAAGCUUAGUUGCCAUCAUUAAGUUGGGCACUCUAAGUUGACUGCCGGUGACAAACCGGAGGAAGGUGGGGAUGACGUCAAAUCAUCAUGCCCCUUAUGAUUUGGGCUACACACGUGCUACAAUGGACAAUACAAAGGGCAGCGAAACCGCGAGGUCAAGCAAAUCCCAUAAAGUUGUUCUCAGUUCGGAUUGUAGUCUGCAACUCGACUACAUGAAGCUGGAAUCGCUAGUAAUCGUAGAUCAGCAUGCUACGGUGAAUACGUUCCCGGGUCUUGUACACACCGCCCGUCACACCACGAGAGUUUGUAACACCCGAAGCCGGUGGAGUAACCAUUUGGAGCUAGCCGUCGAAGGUGGGACAAAUGAUUGGGGUG
RNAcentral lists this ribosomal RNA (1473 nucleotides) under Staphylococcus haemolyticus. RNAcentral describes it as "bacterial SSU rRNA". It matches the Rfam family "Bacterial small subunit ribosomal RNA". The record is from RNAcentral. Lineage: Bacteria; Bacillati; Bacillota; Bacilli; Caryophanales; Staphylococcaceae.